This 49-nucleotide transfer RNA is filed under the name Argiope amoena. RNAcentral's name for it is "tRNA-Lys". Lineage: Eukaryota; Metazoa; Arthropoda; Arachnida; Araneae; Araneidae. The record is from RNAcentral.
AGUGGCCGAUUUAAGGUGUUAGUCUCUUAAAUUAAUUAUGGAGAAAUUA